UUCCGGUUGAUCCUGCCGGACCCCACUGCUAUCGGGAUGGGACUAAGACAUGCUAGUCGUGCGCUUCCAAGCCACGGUGGAAGCGCGGCGCACAGCUCAGUAGCACGUGGCUAACCUGCCCUUGGGACGGAAAUAACCCCGGGAAACUGGGGCUAAUUUCCGAUAGGUGAAGACUCCUGGAAUGGAUCUUCGCCGAAAGGGCGUCUAGACCAUGCUUCUAGGCGCUGCCCAAGGAUGGGGCCGCGGCCGAUCAGGUUGUUGGUGAGGUAACGGCUCACCAAGCCUUUGACCGGUGCGGGCCGUGAGAGCGGGAGCCCGGAGAUGGGCACUGAGACAAGGGCCCAGGCCCUACGGGGCGCAGCAGUCGCGAAAACUCCGCAAUACACGAAAGUGUGACGGGGCCAUCCCGAGUGCCGUCCGCUGAGGACGGCUUUUCCCCAGUGUAUACAGCUGGGGGAAUAAGGAGAGGGCAAGCCUGGUGUCAGCCGCCGCGGUAAUACCAGCUCUCCGAGUGGUGGGGACGCUUAUUGGGCCUAAAGCAUCCGUAGCCGGCUGGGCAAGUCCUCCGUUAAAUCCAACGAUUCAAUCGUUGGACUGCGGGGGAUACUGUCCAGCUUGGGGGCGGGAGAGGCCGACCGGUAUUCCCGGGGUAGGGGUGAAAAUCCUAUAAUCCCGGGAAGACCACCAGUGGCGAAGGCUGUCGGCUAGAACGCGCCCGACGGUGAGGGAUGAAAGCUGGGGGAGCGAACCGGAUUAAAUACCCGGGUAGUCCCAGCUGUAAACGAUGCAGGCUAGGUGUUAGAACGGCUACGGGCCGUUCUAGUGCCGCAGGGAAGCCGUUAAGCCUGCCGCCUGGGGAGUACGGCCGCAAGGCUGAAACUUAAAGGAAUUGGCGGGGGAGCACCACAAGGGGUGAAGCUUGCGGUUUAAUUGGAUUCAACGCCGG
RNAcentral lists this ribosomal RNA (946 nucleotides) under uncultured archaeon. Its description in RNAcentral is "bacterial SSU rRNA". It matches the Rfam family "Archaeal small subunit ribosomal RNA", at positions 1 to 921 of the family's 1478-position model. The record is from RNAcentral.